Molecule: ribosomal RNA, 603 nt
Filed under: Porrostoma sp. UPOL 000378
Lineage: Eukaryota; Metazoa; Arthropoda; Insecta; Coleoptera; Lycidae
Description: partial 16S ribosomal RNA
Rfam family: Bacterial large subunit ribosomal RNA
Source: RNAcentral
CAUGUCCUUUUGAUAAUAAUUUAAGGUCUGGUCUGCUCAGUGAUUAGUUAAAUUGCCGCAGUAUUUUAACUGUGCAAAGGUAGCAUAAUAAUUAGUUUCUUGAUUAGAAACUGGAAUGAACGAUUGGACGAGAAAAUUUCUGUCUCGUUUUUAAAUUUUUUGAAUUUUAUUUUUAAGUUAAAAAGCUUAAAUUAUUAUAAAAGACGAGAAGACCCUAUAGAGUUUAAUAUUUUAAAAUAAUAUAAUAUUAGUAUACUUUUUUAUUGGAAUUUAUUUAGUUGGGGUGACUUAAGGAUAGAACAAAUUCUUUAACUUUUAAAUUGGUGAUUUCUAAAUUUUAAAUCUGUAGUUUAUAAUACUAAAACAAAUUACCUUAGGGAUAACAGCGUAAUUUUACUUUAAAGUUCUCAUUAUAAGUAAAGUUUGCGACCUCGAUGUUGGAUUAAAAUUAAUUUUUGGUGCAAUAACUUAAAAAUUAGGUCUGUUCGACCUUUAAAAUUUUACAUGAUCUGAGUUUAAACCGGUGUAAACCAGGUUGGAUUCUAUCUUUAGAAAAUUAUUAUAUUUUAGUACGAAAGGACCAAUUAUAAAUUAAAUUAAUUG